Non-coding RNA from Tetranychus urticae (two-spotted spider mite), 790 nucleotides. The record is from RefSeq and is a predicted model, not a curated record. Lineage: Eukaryota; Metazoa; Arthropoda; Arachnida; Trombidiformes; Tetranychidae.
UGUCCUUCAUUCAGCAACUUUGAAAAUUUUGACAUUGUAACUUGACUAGCAUUGAGGUGUCACUGGAUUGUUCAACAUUUUCAACCUUUGAACUUGCGUCGACUGUUGUGAUUUAAAAAGAUACUCACAUAUUGUCAGUAAAACUGUGCAGGAAAUGUUGAUUAGCGUCAAGCGAAACUUAAUAUCUUUUUUUUUAUUUUUCAACGUUAAUCAUUGACUGUUUUGGUGUUGAAAAAAAGGAUCUGUCUGGUUCAUUUGAGGGACACAAUCAACACGGAAUCAUAAUGGCCACAUUAUCUGUUUCAUUCAUUUCCCAAGCUUUACUUCAUAAUUCACCAAAUGCUCAAUAGAAGUUGCGAAAUCUGAUGUUACCUGUUCUCACCCUUUUCUGUCUCAUGGUACACUGUAAGCUUAAUCAGAAUUGAUAUUGAUACUUGAUGUUAGGUCAUUUAUGGCCUUGAGGACAACAUAAUUAUUGACAAACAGUAACAACAGCACGAGAAACAACAAGAAUGAUAAUAUUACCUUUCCAAAUGAGGUUAGAUUAAGUAAGGAAAGAUAAUUUGCCACUUACAGCUCAAUAUUAGUUCAACAAUAUCAUCAUCACCAUCAUCACCACCGUCAUCAUCUGAAAGAGAGUGAAAAAGAGAGAGAAAUAAUGAAAUGAAAAAGUCGUUAUCAAUGAUAUAAAAACAAAAUAGCGUAGGAUUUAAAGCUCUGUGAAGCUCUUAAAACUGCACCUAAAAAGUAUCUUUAUUAUAACAAAUGCCCAAAAGCCGAUUCUAUUUAA